Molecule: ribosomal RNA, 391 nt
Filed under: uncultured Lachnospiraceae bacterium
Lineage: Bacteria; Bacillati; Bacillota; Clostridia; Lachnospirales; Lachnospiraceae
Description: bacterial SSU rRNA
Rfam family: Bacterial small subunit ribosomal RNA
Source: RNAcentral
UGGGGAAUAUUGCACAAUGGGGGGAAACCCUGAUGCAGCAACGCCGCGUGAACGAAGAAGUAUUUCGGUAUGUAAAGUUCUAUCAGCAGGGAAGAAAAUGACGGUACCUGACUAAGAAGCACCGGCUAAAUACGUGCCAGCAGCCGCGGUAAUACGUAUGGUGCAAGCGUUAUCCGGAUUUACUGGGUGUAAAGGGAGCGUAGACGGCUCAGUAAGUCUGAUGUGAAAACCCGGGGCUCAACCCCGGGACUGCAUUGGAAACUAUUGAGCUAGAGUGUCGGAGAGGUAAGCGGAAUUCCUAGUGUAGCGGUGAAAUGCGUAGAUAUUAGGAGGAACACCAGUGGCGAAGGCGGCUUACUGGACGAUCACUGACGUUGAGGCUCGAAAGCGU